GAUGAACGCUGGCGGCGUGCCUAAUACAUGCAAGUCGAGCGAACGGACGAGACGCUUGCUUCUCUGAUGUUAGCGGCGGACGGGUGAGUAACACGUGGAUAACCUACCUAUAAGACUGGGAUAACUUCGGGAAACCGGAGCUAAUACCGGAUAAUAUUUUGAACCGCAUGGUUCAAAAGUGAAAGACGGUCUUGCUGUCACUUAUAGAUGGAUCCGCGCUGCAUUAGCUAGUUGGUAAGGUAACGGCUUACCAAGGCAACGAUGCAUAGCCGACCUGAGAGGGUGAUAGGCCACACUAGAACUGAAACACGGUCCAGACUCCUACGGGAGGCAGCAGUAGCGAACCGUCCGCAAUGGGCGAAAGCCUGACGGAGCAACGCCGCGUGAGUGAUGAAGGUCUUCGGAUCGUAAAACUCUGUUAUUAGUGAAGAACAGAUGUGUAAGUAACUGUGCACAGCUUGACGGUACCGAAUAAGAAAGCCACGGCUAACUACGUG
RNAcentral lists this ribosomal RNA (497 nucleotides) under uncultured bacterium. RNAcentral's name for it is "partial 16S ribosomal RNA". It matches the Rfam family "Bacterial small subunit ribosomal RNA", at positions 28 to 507 of the family's 1533-position model. The record is from RNAcentral.